Molecule: long non-coding RNA, 2915 nt
Filed under: Xyrichtys novacula (pearly razorfish)
Lineage: Eukaryota; Metazoa; Chordata; Actinopteri; Labriformes; Labridae
Source: RNAcentral
CGUGCGUGCGUGUGUGUGUAUCAGUCAGCUGAUGAUGUAUGAUUGAGUUGUGAUCUCACUCCAUCUCACUGAACUCUUCCUCCUCUCUUUGUCUCUCAGGUGUUCACAUUGUCCAGCGGAUGUACGGCUGUGAGUGGGAUGAUGAGACUAAUGAAGUGAACAGUGGUUUCUUUCAGUAUGGUUACGAUGGAGAAGACUUUGUAGCAUUUGACUUUAAAACAAAAACUUGGAUUGCUCCUACACCUCAGGCUGUCAUCACCAAACAGAAGUGGGAUGUGAACAAAGCAAAUUUAGCUCAAGACAUGAACUAUCUCACCAAAAUUUGUCCUGAAUGGCUGAAAAAGUAUGUGGAGUAUGGAAGGAGCUCUCUGAUGAGAACAGGUAAGAUCACAGACCUGAUGUAACUUUAUCCUGACAAUGAACAUAAACUUCUUUUUUAACUGUCAUAUUACACUGAGUGAUGAACAUCUUUGUUUUGUGCUUCGCUUUAUCAUUUUUGCUUUAUUUUUCUAUUUUCUGCAUCUUUCUCAUUCUCAGUGUUUUUCUUUAUUUUCUGAUUUAAUUUCUCUCUGCUCUGUUUUAAUCUCUUAACCCUCUUCAAUUUUCUGUCUUUUCUCCUCUGCCCUUUUGUCUGUUGCAAAAGUGAGAUUAAACAGGAUUAUUAAUAAACAGUAAUUCAAAGUCGUAGAGAAACUGUAAACUUUCUCUCUGUUUGUCCUCCAGACCUCCCCUCAGUGUCUCUCCUCCAGAAGUCUCCGUCCUCUCCGGUCACCUGCCACGCUUCAGGUUUCUACCCCAACAGAGCCAUGAUGCUCUGGAGGAAAGAUGGAGAGGAGCUUCAUGAGGAGGUGGACCUCGGAGAGACCCUCCCCAACCCUGACGGAUCCUUCCAGAUGAGUGCUGACCUGAAAGUCCCGUCUGAUGACUGGGGGAAGUAUGAGUGUGUGUUUCAGCUGGCUGGUCAGGAGGACAUCAUCACCAACCUGGACAAGACUAAGAUCAGGACAAACUCUGGUGAGACUGGAAACAAACAACAAAUGUUCUCUUUAAUCAACUUCAUCUGUUCAGAGUUUGACUUCACUUUGUUGUUUUCUGCUUCACAGGGAAUCUCUUGUACACGAUCAUCAUCGUUGUUGCUGUGUUGAUUCUUCUCUCCACCAUCAUCUGUGGAGGGGUCUACUUCUACAAGAAGAAGCAAAAUGGUGAGAGGUCAAAGCAGAGACAGUCUCAGUUUGUCUUUUUCAUCCCGUCCUCGUUUGUGUCCUCGUGGCAAAAGUAGAAAAAGAUAACAUUUUCAGAAUCCAGGAUGAGAUUCAGGAUGUGACAGGUGGAGGAUUUCAAAUUUGUUCAUUGUUUGUUUUGUUUCUUUUCCAGCCAAACGUCCUCCAUCUCGUAAGUAAAGUUUGUUUUUAUCCUUAAUUUGACUUAAAUUUUUAAAUGAUGGUUUAAUUGCUAACGUGUUGCUUUCUGAUCUUACAGCAGUCUAUACUGCCCCUGUGGAGCAAGAGAAAAUGCUUCCAAACCCAAGCGCCUAAAAGACAAACACACCACCCUGAACCCAGUGAGUCACAUUUGAUGAGCCUGGUUUUGUUACCUGUUGUCACCCUUAAGCUGUGUGAAAACAAAACUUUCUGAGGACUUUAGACAUGAAUCCAUCAUUAAUACCUUUUUUAUUGACAUAUCCUUUGAAAAAAAUAUCAGAAAUGAUUUUGUCUUUAAAGUUUUGUCCCUUCUGCUUUUUUAAGGUUGGUGGACAUAUUUCCCUGCCUAACAAGGAGGAGAUCCAACACAUUUUCCUGGGAAACAAUUGUUUUUUUUUUCUUCAUACACAACAUAAAGUGAUCAGGGCUGGAAUCAUAUUUGUGAUGCUUAUUGAGAAAAUACAAAAAAAUAAGUUUUAAAUGAGUUGACUAAUGAAUAACAAUAAUCUACAGCGCAUCUUCUCAAACAUAAAUUAGGACAUCAGGUUGUGUAUUUAGCUUUUGAUGAAAGUCCUGCUGAAAUUAUAAAAAUAUUCUAUGAAGAUGAUUUUUUUUUCUCUCAAUUGUAAAGAAGUUAAACACAAUCUUCAUCAGUGAAAGCGUCACACUGAUUUUUGUUCAUCCGUGAUAAAGAUUUCUGUGUUCAUCUUAAACUCAUCAACCACAGUAACAGUUUGAUCCUUCUGGUGUUGGGAGCUUUGCACUUAAAUCAGUUUUGGUUUUAUGAACAUUAACAUGCUUUCACAUUUUCUGUUAAGUACUCAUGGUGUUUAGCAGCAGUCUGGAGAAAUACAGCUUUAAAAUACAGAAGUCUGCCAACCAGCAGAGAUCUUACUGAUGAUUAUAUAAAGAAAGACGUUUGUUUGUGCUCUGGUUUUGUUUGUUCACUUUUAUCAAAUCAGCUGAUCAAUCAUUUUGAAUUUGGCUCCCUAAUCUGCCAUUAAAUCCUGAAAUUAAUCUGAAUUUAGUUUCAACACAUUUGCACUUAAUUAGGACUCUGUUUCCAGUUGUGUAAAUAUUCAUGUAAAACAAAAAAAAUGCUGUAAAGGCUCCAAAAACAUCCCUGAAAAUUAUGAUUUAUAAGUUUUAAAGUGUUUAUUAUAAUUAUGUUUUCUUUCAUGUGUCUGAUUUUAGUUAAGUUUAAAGGCUUCCUGUGCAUGAUGGCAUCAAAGUUCAACUCAAUGAAAGUCUAAUUUCUGAAACACCAUCUUUUAUAUGUCAGACUUGAAGUAGUUGUUGGAUGUUAAAUCUCUGAAAGUUGCUUGUUGUAAAUAUUUGAUCCUACUGUUAAAGAAGAUAGUGACGAUCAGUUCUCUGAAUAAUUUCUUGUUUUGGGUGAAGUUAAAAUUAGAAAUGAAGUUGCUUUUGCUUUGUGAUUACUUUUGUACUUUCCUUUAAAGUCUUAAUAAAAACCCCUAAAAAACCCAAACGUCU